This 400-nucleotide ribosomal RNA is filed under the name uncultured bacterium. RNAcentral describes it as "partial 16S ribosomal RNA". It matches the Rfam family "Bacterial small subunit ribosomal RNA", at positions 355 to 752 of the family's 1533-position model. The record is from RNAcentral.
UAAGGAAUAUUGGUCAAUGCCCGGAAGGGUGAACCAGCCACGCCGCGUGGAGGAUGAAGGCCCUCUGGGUUGUAAACUUCUUUAGAGUGGGAAGAAAGUGUGAUACUAGUAUCAUUUUGACGGUACCACUAGAAUAAGCACCGGCUAACUCCGUGCCAGCAGCCGCGGUAAUACGGAGGGUGCGAGCGUUAUCCGGAAUCACUGGGUUUAAAGGGUGCGUAGGCUGUUAGAUAAGUCAGUGGUGAAAUAUUUUCGCAUAACGAAGAAACUGCCAUUGAUACUGUUUAACUAGAAUUGGGAUGAGGUGACUGGAAUGUGACAUGUAGCGGUGAAAUGCAUAGAGAUGUCAUAGAAUACCGAUUGCGAAGGCAGGUCACUGGCCCUUGAUUGACGCUGAGGC